Molecule: transfer RNA, 72 nt
Filed under: Camelus bactrianus (Bactrian camel)
Lineage: Eukaryota; Metazoa; Chordata; Mammalia; Artiodactyla; Camelidae
Also listed under: 1 other name
Rfam family: tRNA
About the family: Transfer RNA (tRNA) molecules are approximately 80 nucleotides in length.
Source: Rfam by way of RNAcentral
GGGGGUAUAGCUCAGAGGCAGAGUGCGUGCUUAGCAUACUCGAGGUCCCGGGUUCAAUCCCUGGUAUCUCCA